This 77-nucleotide transfer RNA is filed under the name Nocardia sp. CS682. RNAcentral describes it as "tRNA-Leu". It matches the Rfam family "tRNA". Rfam says of the family: Transfer RNA (tRNA) molecules are approximately 80 nucleotides in length. Their secondary structure includes four short double-helical elements and three loops (D, anti-codon, and T loops). Further hydrogen bonds mediate the characteristic L-shaped molecular structure. tRNAs have two regions of fundamental functional importance: the anti-codon, which is responsible for specific mRNA codon recognition, and the 3' end, to which the tRNAs corresponding amino acid is attached (by aminoacyl-tRNA synthetases). tRNAs cope with the degeneracy of the genetic code in two manners: having more than one tRNA (with a specific anti-codon) for a particular amino acid; and 'wobble' base-pairing, i.e. permitting non-standard base-pairing at the 3rd anti-codon position. The record is from RNAcentral. RNAcentral also lists the same sequence under 3 other names. Lineage: Bacteria; Bacillati; Actinomycetota; Actinomycetes; Mycobacteriales; Nocardiaceae.
UCCCUCGUAGCCCAAUCGGUAGAGGCACCGGACCUAGAUUCCGGGAGGUGCGAGUUCGAAUCUCGCCGAGGGAACCA